GAUGAACGCUGGCGGCGUGCCUAAUACAUGCAAGUCGAGCGAACAGACGAGGAGCUUGCUCCUCUGACGUUAGCGGCGGAAGGGUGAGUAACACGUGGAUAACCUACCUAUAAGACUGGGAGAACUUCGGGAAACCGGAGCUAAUACCGGAUAAUAUAUUGAACCGCAUGGUUCAAUAGUGAAAGACGGUUUUGCUGGCAUUUAUAGAUGGAACCGCGCCGCAUUAGUUAGUUGGUAAGGUAACGGCUUACCAAGGCAACGAUGCGUAGCCGACCUGAGAGGGUGAUCGGCCACACUGGAACUGAGACACGGUCCACACUCCUACGGGAGGCAGCAGUAGGGAAUCUUCCGCAAUGGGCGAAAGCCUGACGGAGCAACGCCGCGUGAGUGAUGAAGGUCUUCGGAUCGUAAAACUCUGUUAUUAGGGAAGAACAAAUGUGUAAGUAACUAUGCACGUCUUGACGGUACCUAAUCAGAAAGCCACGGCUAACUACGUG
Molecule: ribosomal RNA, 497 nt
Filed under: uncultured bacterium
Lineage: Bacteria
Description: partial 16S ribosomal RNA
Rfam family: Bacterial small subunit ribosomal RNA
Source: RNAcentral